GAUGGUGUAGCUCAGCGGUUAGAGCAGUUGGCUGUUAACUAACUGGUCGGUGGUUCGAAUCCAUCCACCAUCGCCA
This 76-nucleotide transfer RNA is filed under the name Escherichia albertii. RNAcentral's name for it is "tRNA-Asn". It matches the Rfam family "tRNA". Rfam says of the family: Transfer RNA (tRNA) molecules are approximately 80 nucleotides in length. Their secondary structure includes four short double-helical elements and three loops (D, anti-codon, and T loops). The record is from RNAcentral. Lineage: Bacteria; Pseudomonadati; Pseudomonadota; Gammaproteobacteria; Enterobacterales; Enterobacteriaceae.